Molecule: unclassified non-coding RNA, 401 nt
Filed under: Hevea brasiliensis (rubber tree)
Lineage: Eukaryota; Viridiplantae; Streptophyta; Magnoliopsida; Malpighiales; Euphorbiaceae
Source: RNAcentral
AGAUAAAGGCCCCUGCCAAGUGCAUCCACUUCUAUGGUAUAGACAAUGAACUGUUAUCUUGCCAAUGGUUUCAGCUAGAGCUUUGUUUGAUUCAAUAAGAGGCUUGGAAUCUGCUUCUGUCACCAAGUAGCCAUCAUAGGGGCAAGCCCUGGUAGUGCUCACAAUAUAUGUUAAACAUGGCUUACAGUAUAGGUGGGUACACAAGGACUGUAAUGCUUCAUUUGGAUAGACUAGCAGACGGCAAACAGGACAGAAAUAUUCUCCAGCCAGAGAUUGAAUGUUCAGUAUGCACUCAUUAUCAAAACCCAUGGUGCAAUAGAGUCUGGCUUCAACUCGCAGUAAGCAUCAAUGCUAUCCAACCUAAGAGAGAGGAGAGUACUGGAGACACAAAGAAAGCUGAG